This 76-nucleotide transfer RNA is filed under the name Acholeplasmataceae bacterium. RNAcentral's name for it is "tRNA-Ala". It matches the Rfam family "tRNA". Rfam says of the family: Transfer RNA (tRNA) molecules are approximately 80 nucleotides in length. The record is from RNAcentral. RNAcentral also lists the same sequence under 1 other name. Lineage: Bacteria; Bacillati; Mycoplasmatota; Mollicutes; Acholeplasmatales; Acholeplasmataceae.
GGGUCCUUAGCUCAGCUGGGAGAGCGCCUGUUUUGCAAGCAGGAGGUCGUCGGUUCGAUCCCGAUAGGAUCCACCA